UUGAUACAUUCAACACCUUGGACGGAUCUCAAGGGCAUUAUGCUGGGUGGAAAAAGAGCCAAUCUCAAAGGUUACAAACUGUGUGAUUCCAUUUAUAUAACUUUCUCUAAAUGACACGAUUAUAGAGAUGGAGAACAGC
Molecule: non-coding RNA, 139 nt
Organism: Ceratotherium simum simum (southern white rhinoceros)
Lineage: Eukaryota; Metazoa; Chordata; Mammalia; Perissodactyla; Rhinocerotidae
Source: RefSeq, a predicted model, not a curated record